UCUUGCCUUCAGCCAUGUUUACACGGCACUGUCAGUAUACUACUGGCUUAGCUCGCUAGUUUUAGAUUAACUGCUAGUUGAUUAACUUAAAUAAGCGAAUGAUUUUUACUUAUAAAAUAUCCAUAUUUUCAUUCCACUUCCACGUCGAAGAGGUCCAACACAAAUCUGUAAACAUCUCCAGCUUGCAAUAAUUGCGAGUGAAGAGUGUGGCACUGCCAUCAGCCAAUCAGCGACUGCCAUUGAGAAAGAAAGUGAGUGGUGAUGGAGAAUAUGUCCAGCUUGGGAUAGUCGCUAGUGAGGAACUUGGCACUGCCAUGAAUGCGAACGCUGACAGAUUCCUCCAGCCACACAAUCCAGUUGUGAUCAGAGGUCUGGCUCGUGGCCUAACGGCUUGCAGGACCCCAGAACCGUGCACAUAUGGGACGGAUCAAGAGGGUGUUUCUUGUGGUGUGCGCUGAUGUUGACACCUCUGAUGUCUGCUGGUGUAAAGUUGCUGCUGAGCCGCGGGUCUUCAUGCUCUUCUCUAGGCUGGACCCUCCUCCUCUUCCUGUAGGCCUCGCAGGUAUGCCGAGCUCAGCUGCUUCCAGGCCUCUCUUCUGACCUUUCCCAACAUGCACAUGGGCUUUUAUUUACUUUCAACCGCAGAUUGAUCAUGCAUGCUUCUCAGAGACGGGAGGACUGGAUGUUUGAGGAAUGCUGAUCAGCGCUGGACAUGCUCUAGUCUUAUCUGAAAUAUGAAAGCAUGCUUUAUCUUUAAAACAACACUUAUCCAGCAAAGGGAUUUAAGUAGGAAACUAUCAGCAUAAAAUUCUAGCCAAGAACCACCCAUUUAAAAAGGAAAGGGACUUCUGAUUGACAUGUAAAAUGACCAGUCACAGCCUGUCAUUUUGGGGUGGCUGAAUCUAAAAUUUUGAUUUUCCAGUUAGAAUUUCUAUGAAUUUGAUUUAAUUUCGCCAGAAAUUACAUAAUACAGCACAGGGGAUUC
This is a long non-coding RNA of Labeo rohita (rohu), 985 nucleotides long. RefSeq lists it as uncharacterized. The record is from RefSeq and is a predicted model, not a curated record. Lineage: Eukaryota; Metazoa; Chordata; Actinopteri; Cypriniformes; Cyprinidae. The transcript is spliced from 4 exons.